UCUCACCUCCCUGGCCUCUGGGUGCUUGUGGUGGUGGUGGCUGGUGGGGGGUGGACAGAGCGCGUCUUCACAGGGAGUCUGGUGCCCAAACUUCCCUCCGGCCCCCUGCUGGCCUAGCCUCACUCCUGGGGGUGGGGGGCGGGGAUUCUCCUCCUCCAACACACUGGGUUCUCAGGCCUGGGGGUCUCCUUCCUCAGGGACACUCACUCAGCUGUAGGCGGGGUUCUGUGGUUACCUGGUUACCAUCUGUCUCCCCUGGGGGGACGGUGGGCCCCCUGGCCAAGGAACCCUGUCACUGAGCGAAUGCUCUACAGAAAAGCUUCGAGUUUCGGGAGCAUUCUCGACUGGUCCUGAGUCAACUGCUCUCCCUCAGCCUUAAUCCUUGGACCUUCUUCCUCGGCUGGUGGGAUCCAGGAUAAAGUGGGAUAAAUCCAGGAGGAAGCAGGACGUGGCAGAGAGGCCGGCCCGAGGCCAGGACCAGAACAAGACGGUGUGUAAGUCAGAGGAGAAGGAAUCCCGAAGCAAAGCAUACCUUCGCCGCUCACGUCGCGUGUAUUCUGCUUCUCUCGCCAGCAUGGACUUCUCCAGCAGGAUUAACCUUCCAGAACACACAAGGGAUGAGCCUGCUCCUUCUGGGAUGGCCACAGUACCUCUGACUUUGGAACGAGCAAUUCAGACUCACCACGUUGUGGUUCGCUCGUGUCUCUUCUCUGCCCGGGGGUUAGACGAUGCAGUUCCCGGGCGAGCAAAGGAGGAUUCGAGUGGGAGGGAAAGCAGGGGACGCUGGAGGAUGGGAGGUUGCGGUCAGAGCGGGAUGCCCAGCACGAUCUCUGAGUCUGAGCAGCUCUGGGCACAGCCCAGAGGAGGCCAGGACAGCAAGGCGAUAUUGGACCAACUACGUGGACCAGGAAUGAGACUGUAGCAUCACCUUGAUGAAAAGGACGAAGAAAUGUUGAAACUCCCAAAGAAGCAAUUAAAUGGCAGAUUUCUUUUUCUUUAGUUCAAAGUUAUGAUAAGCAACAAUAACAUCAUCCACUAAAUAACAUAUUCGUUAUAAACGUAACAUUUUCCACACAGAAGCCUGGAACUAUGAUGAGAAGACGUAGAAAAAGGAGAAGAAUAAAAGUCACAGAGGGACGAGAUCAUGGAAAUUAGCAGAUGGAGAAAAUACCUAAGCAUGAUUUAUACGGUUAAGUAAGUUUCAGAAAAAAAUUUUAAAUUAUGACUAAGCACUAGGAGACUCUAAAAUGAAUCAAGAUGUUUGAGGGGCGCCUAGGUGGCUCAGUCGGUGAAGCAUCCGACGUAGUAGGCUCAGGUCAUGAUCUCGUGGUCUGUAA
Molecule: long non-coding RNA, 1337 nt
Organism: Leopardus geoffroyi (Geoffroy's cat)
Lineage: Eukaryota; Metazoa; Chordata; Mammalia; Carnivora; Felidae
Exons: 5
Source: RefSeq, a predicted model, not a curated record